CCGGGCAACGCAGGGCAUCUCGCUUUCUAACAGAAAGGGAUUUAGGAUUGAAAACCUAAAUUACGGAAAGUGCAACAGAAAAUAUACCGCUUCGGCAUAGGUUGAAGUAAGGGUGAAAACGUGCGGUAAGAGCGCACGACAGUGGCUAGCGAUAGCCGUUGAUUGUAAACCCCGGGAGUUGAAAAACCAAAUAGGCUGACGCAUGUAGGGCUGCCCGUCCGAUGUUAGUGGGUAGGUUGUUGGAGGUUGGUGGCAACACCAGAUCCUAGAUAAAUGAUAGAAAACUUUGCGAAAGCAAAGACACAGAACCCGGCUUAUAGGCCUGCAUUUUUU
This 333-nucleotide RNase P RNA is filed under the name Pedobacter sp. Its description in RNAcentral is "partial RNase P RNA component class A". It matches the Rfam family "Bacterial RNase P class A", at positions 52 to 367 of the family's 367-position model. From Rfam's summary of the family: Ribonuclease P (RNase P) is a ubiquitous endoribonuclease, found in archaea, bacteria and eukarya as well as chloroplasts and mitochondria. Lineage: Bacteria; Pseudomonadati; Bacteroidota; Sphingobacteriia; Sphingobacteriales; Sphingobacteriaceae. The record is from RNAcentral.